UCUUCUUCUUCCUCUUCCUGAGAAAUAUAAUGGUGCCCGCUUCCCUUCACUCCAAAAAAAUCAUAAGAAAAUAAAUGAAAAGGAUCAAACAUUAAAUUUAUGCAAAGGGUCUUAUGAAUUAAAAGCUUUCACCUCCUCCUCCUCCCCCUCCCCCUCCCAUUCCCUCCCCUUCCUUCCCCUUCAUCUCUUCCUUCCCAUCACACACCGUCCCCUUUUUAAUCCCCGCCUCCCUCCUCCAUACUUUCAUCUUCCUCUAAACGGUGUCCAUGGAAAUUGCCCCUACCUCUCCCUCUCCCUCUCCCUCUUCCCCUCUUCCCUCUUCCCUCUCCCCUUUAUUUUCGUCACCCCUUCAUCUUUCUCUCCCCCUUCCCCCUACCAUAUGAAAAGGUGUCCAUCAGUUUCCCCAUCUCUUCCCUCCCCCAUCCAUGCACUGUGCACCACCUCUCCCCUCCCCCUUCUCUCCUUUCCGCCCCCUUCCCUUUACCUUCCAUUAUCAAAAGAUGUCCAUCCAGAAAGGGGAAAAAAUAGGGUGUUUUGCAAAUUGUUUAUAAAGAUUGGUCUCCGUGCCAUUCUUUUAUCCUCCCUCCUUCCUUCCCUCUCCCCUCUUCCCUCUCCUUCACCCUCUACCUCUCUUCCACUCCCCGCCCUCUCCACCUCUCCACUUCUUCACAUCCCAAUGAGUGUCCACCUAAACUAAAAAGAAUAAAUAAUCAGGGGGUCAGAUUAUUAACAGCCUCCCCCCCUCACCUUUGUUUAUUUUUAAGUCUCCCCUCUAUCCACGCCCCCCGCCCUUCACCUCCCCUACUGCUCUUCCCGGCCGUGGUGUUCGUCCGUAGUGGUAAAAGAGUUACAUUAAUUACUACUAUUAUAUAUGCUAUACUAUUAUGAUGAGGUUAAGUUAGUACUAGUAUUAAGUCUUAUUCUGGGAGUCACCACCGCACCCCUCCUUCUCUCUCCCCCCGCACACACACCUGGCUCCCCACUACCUGUCCCUUUCCUCCUCCAACACCCCCCCGCCGGUUGUGGCUCCCAUGCAACUGCCUUUUAAAACAGUGAGUGGGCGACACCUUUGCCAUUUGAAAGCCUUUGGAGGAAAAACUAGCUCAAAAAAAUUAUGUAAAAAAAUUAAACUUGAUCAAAAGAAGAAGAAAAAUGAACUUGAUACUUUGUCAUUGGGUCUCAGUACUGUUACGGUUGUGUUGAGAUUGGCUGUAGUUUGUGCUCCUGAUGGAUGUAAGAUAGUCACACCUGAGCUUGGCAUCUUGAGACAUGAAAGGCAUACUUGCUGUUUUAAUUAGCAGGUAAGGCGUAUGGCAGUUGCGCACCUGUAGUAUUUAAAUGACACCUUUUGUCACAUCCCCCAAUCCCGUAAAGAGAAAUAUUGAUCUUGGUCUCCAUUUUUAUAUAUAUAUAUAUUAAAAAAAAUGGCUUAUUGUUUUAUGACUAUACUAUAUAUAUGAAACCAGUGCAUAAGAAAGAGAGGAAAAGAAAGUAUUGACAUUAAAGAGAGAGAAAGAGAGAGAUUGAGAGUGAGAGAGAGAGAAAUGUUUACACUUUAUAUUGAAUGGAGGAAGAGAAGUACACACCCACAAGUAUACUUAUUAAUACUUCUUUAUCUACCCCCUCCCCCUCAUUAAAACAAAAGAAAGUGAACUGGAAAGGAAAUGUGUUUAAUUUUAGCGUGGAAACAACACCUGCAUCGUUAUUAUUGUUCUUGUUAUUGUUAUCAUUUACCUGUUCGUUCAGUUUGUUACUUGCGCGAGGGAGUUCAGUCCAGCGAAACAUUAUAUUGCAUUUUGUUUGUAUUUUUUAAUGUCAUUAUUUUCCGUAUUUCAUUGUCUUACCGGUUCAUUUAUUUCUCUUUAUUUUGUUGAAUUUAUUCUCUCCGAUUUUCGUUCCUCGAGAUUAGUUUAGCGUUGUCAUUCUUUUAAGUUUUCUUUGUUUACUGUUCCUGAUACGAUUUGCUUGUCACUGCACACACGCACACACACACACACACACACACACGCACACGCACACACACACACACACACACACACACACACACACACACACACACACACACACACACACACACACACACACACACACACACACACACACACACACACACACACACGAGCUCGCAAACGUGAACGGAAAUAUUCUUGUCAGUCUUUGUAGAAGGAAAAAUUGUUAGCAGUGUGUAGGUAGUGGUGGUGGAGGUGGAGUAAGGGAGGGGGUAGGGAGGAAUCAGACAUAUGAAGGGGUGGGAAGAAUAGCUGCAACUAAACCAGCAAGAAUAGUAAUAGUAAUAAUAGUCUACAUUCUAUCAAAUAAAGGGCGAAGUUAACAGUAUAUAGUAUGAAUCGGAGAGAGAGAGAGAGAGAGAGAGAGAGAGAGAGAGAGAGAGAGAGAGACUUAUUGUGCAUUAUUUUUCUAAACACGUCACUCGUAAUCUCAGUCAUUAUCAUUGUCAUUGUCAUACCAUCGAUGCGCACAAGAGAGAAAGAGAGAGAGAGAGAGAGAAAGAGAGAGUGUGUACCUGGGGAAAGUGAGUAAGGUACACUGCAAUAAUAUUUAAACAAGAGCAAGCAAGGAAGGAAGGAAUGUGAAUUGAUAACAGUAAUAAUAACUCUAACCAAAAGAGGUGAAGCACACGAACAAUAACAACCGAACAAGUGUCACCAACAACAGUCACUACAAUAACAAUACCAACAAUAACACCAAUGCCUGUUUGUACUGUGUAAAUGUCCUGUCUCAAUCCUGUACCAAGAAGUUUGUCAAUUAAAUGGCUGAAGUUGC
Long non-coding RNA from Portunus trituberculatus (swimming crab), 2784 nucleotides. RefSeq lists it as uncharacterized. The transcript is spliced from 2 exons. Lineage: Eukaryota; Metazoa; Arthropoda; Malacostraca; Decapoda; Portunidae. The record is from RefSeq and is a predicted model, not a curated record.